GUUGUAUGGUUAAGUGACUAAGCGUACACGGUGGAUGCCUUGGCAGUCAGAGGCGAUGAAAGACGUAGUAACUUGCGAUAAGCCCAGAUUAGGUAGUAACAACCAUUUGAGUCUGGGAUUUCUGAAUGGGGAAACCCACGUGCAUAAGCACGUAUCCUUACCUGAAUACAUAGGGUAAGGAGGCGAACCGGGGGAACUGAAACAUCUAAGUACCCCGAGGAAAAGAAAUCAACCGAGAUUCCGAAAGUAGCGGCGAGCGAAAUUGGACUAGCCCUUAAGCUUUACACGCGUUAGACGAACGGUCUGGAAAGUCCGACGAUACAGGGUGAUAGUCCCGUAGUUGACGACGUGUGUUCAGUGAAAUCGAGUAGGGCGGGACACGUGAUAUCCUGUCUGAAUAUGGGGGGACCAUCCUCCAAGGCUAAAUACUACUGACUGACCGAUAGUGAACCAGUACCGUGAGGGAAAGGCGAAAAGAACCCCUGUGAGGGGAGUGAAAUAGAACCUGAAACCGUGUACGUACAAGCAGUAGGAGCAGGCUUUGUCCUGUGACUGCGUACCUUUUGUAUAAUGGGUCAGCGACUUAUAUUCAGUGGCAAGGUUAACCAUCUAGGGGAGCCGUAGGGAAACCGAGUCUUAACUGGGCGUUCAGUCUCUGGAUAUAGACCCGAAACCAGGUGAUCUAGCCAUGGGCAGGUUGAAGGUUGAGUAACAUCAACUGGAGGACCGAACCGACUAAUGUUGAAAAAUUAGCGGAUGACUUGUGGCUAGGGGUGAAAGGCCAAUCAAACCUGGAGAUAGCUGGUUCUCCCCGAAAGCUAUUUAGGUAGCGCCUCGGACGAAUACUACUGGGGGUAGAGCACUGUUAAGGCUAGGGGGUCAUCCCGACUUACCAACCCUUUGCAAACUCCGAAUACCAGUAAGUACUAUCCGGGAGACACACGGCGGGUGCUAACGUCCGUCGUGGAGAGGGAAACAACCCAGACCGCCAGCUAAGGUCCCAAAUUACUACUAAGUGGGAAACGAUGUGGGAAGGCUCAGACAGCCAGGAUGUUGGCUUAGAAGCAGCCAUCAUUUAAAGAAAGCGUAAUAGCUCACUGGUCGAGUCGGCCUGCGCGGAAGAUGUAACGGGGCUAAGUAGUAAACCGAAGCUGCGGCAAUAUACUUUUGUAUAUUGGGUAGGGGAGCGUUCUGUAAGCGGUUGAAGGUGUGUGGUAACGCAUGCUGGACGUAUCAGAAGUGCGAAUGCUGACAUGAGUAACGAUAAAGGGGGUGAAAAACCUCCUCGCCGGAAGACCAAGGGUUCCUGUCCAACGUUAAUCGGGGCAGGGUAAGUCGACCCCUAAGGCGAGGCCGAAAGGCGUAGUCGAUGGGAAACGGGUUAAUAUUCCCGUACUUCUUACAAUUGCGAUGGGGGGACGGAGAAGGCUAGGUGGGCCUGGCGACGGUUGUCCAGGUUCAAGUGCGUAGGCUU
Molecule: ribosomal RNA, 1474 nt
Filed under: Vibrio parahaemolyticus
Lineage: Bacteria; Pseudomonadati; Pseudomonadota; Gammaproteobacteria; Vibrionales; Vibrionaceae
Description: partial 23S ribosomal RNA
Rfam family: Bacterial large subunit ribosomal RNA
Source: RNAcentral